AUACAUAGGACAUACCAGUCUCACCAGUACCAUUGAUCUUUGACUCAAUGUAUCAAUGACUGAGAAUAUUUUAGAUUAUGACUAUCAAGGAUUUAGAUCUCACUGGUGUGAUUUCAUUACGGCCUUAAAAUCAUUGUCCGGACCUAUGGAGUUCAUUAUAAUCUUAAAAACAAUAAUAAGAUGCAGCAUAUAAUGAAUCGAAAAGUCUAUUUUGUUAAUUAAUAAUGUCAAAUAUAUGAAUUUAAAAGACAAAUUAUAGAAAAAUACUCCAUCGC
RNAcentral lists this long non-coding RNA (275 nucleotides) under Elaeis guineensis (African oil palm). RNAcentral's name for it is "long non-coding RNA (EGUI_LNC051559)". The record is from RNAcentral. Lineage: Eukaryota; Viridiplantae; Streptophyta; Magnoliopsida; Arecales; Arecaceae.